GCUCAUCCUCCCAAGGUUCAAUUGUAGAAUUUACAGCAACUAGAUGAAUUAACAGGAUCUCCAGCAGACAUUGCAGCUGAUGUAGUGGGAGAUAAUCCUAAACAAAAUCAGAUUAAGAAAAGGGUAACAAGGCUCCUUUUGCUUCUGCAAAUUCCUUACAAUUACGUUGCAUCUUUAUGUUAGUUUGCAUUGAGACUCUGGAGAAGAUUCUGCGAGAAUAUUGUACAGUUGAUCUUCUCAUCAAAGUAUCAGCUUUUCUAAACGUGUCAAUCAGCUACAGCAAGAAGUACCCUAUAUUACAGUAUAUGCCAUCUGAUUCACCUUCUUACAAGGAUCAUCUUUGUAACCUUCUCUCAUGCUACAUCAAAGAGCAAGAUGACCUCUAUGCAACACCAGGAAUGAAAAGAAUUCCUGAAUUGUGAGCCCAGCCGCCAGGCAAUUUCAGAAACCUUCCUGUUGCUGCCUGUCUCCUGUCUUUUGAUGAGUUGGCUCAUUCUUUCGUUUUUUUUUAUUUAAGAGCAACAUUUACCUACAGCAUAGGAAUGCUCUGAAGAUUAAUUCAUUUGCGUACUAUGUGAUAUAUAUGCUGGGUAACAGAUAUCAGUUGUGGAAGAUAGAGUGCUGCUAGCAAGCUGUCCAGGACAAACUACCUGAUGGUGUCUGUUGACUUUAAGCUCCUUGCUUUGUCACUGCUCACAGAACAAAUCAGGGCAGAAGGGAAAGGCUCUCAGGGAUGGUGUUCUCUUUCUGAUCCACAGUAGAAAAAUGCCCUGUGGUCCACAGCCAGAAGACACUUGGGCAGACUGCUUCCAUGUCCUUAUGGAAGGUCAGGUGUUGAGCCUUGCAUAAAUUUCUACUUCAUUCCUGCCUGGGCUUUUCUGUCAAAAGUACUUUUAGCUCAGGUUGGAACUUAAUGUAUACGCAAAGAUGUUAAUCAUACAAACUUAACCCUCAAGCAAAACAAAGGAUGAUCAGUUUGUCUGUAUAGGUGUAGCCCAUAUAUCACGUUUCACUUUAUUAUUGAAUUCUAAUUUGUGGGGCUAAUGGACUCCUUAAAAAAAAGAAACACUUAGAAAUCUGUGCCUCCUCAAACAUAAGCAGUCUUAAGCCAGAUCUUAGUACAAAAACAACUAAUUAUUAAUAGAAAUAUUGCAAUGAAUACCUCAAACUCAAAAUGUCACUAUUCUUUUUGUCUACAAUAACAAUAUCCUGUGCUCCAUCC
This 1222-nucleotide long non-coding RNA is filed under the name Lepidothrix coronata (blue-crowned manakin). Its description in RNAcentral is "lncRNA (ENSLCOG00000011912.1)". Lineage: Eukaryota; Metazoa; Chordata; Aves; Passeriformes; Pipridae. The record is from RNAcentral.